CCUGGCGGCCACAGCGCGGCGGUCCCACCUGACCCCAUGCCGAACUCAGAAGUGAAACGCCGUAGCGCCGAUGGUAGUGUGGGG
Molecule: ribosomal RNA, 84 nt
Filed under: Pantoea sp. Acro-807
Lineage: Bacteria; Pseudomonadati; Pseudomonadota; Gammaproteobacteria; Enterobacterales; Erwiniaceae
Source: RNAcentral